UGUGGGUGGGACCACAUAAGGGAAUAAAAGCAGGCUGCCAGAGCUAGCAGUGGCAACCUGCUCAGUUUCUCUCUGCAGUGUGGAAGGUUUGUUCUUUUGCUGUUUGCGGUAAAUCUUGCUGCUGCUCACUGUUUUGGUUUGCAUUCCCUUUAUGAGCUGUGACACUCACCGCAAAGGUCUGCAGUUUCACUCCUGAGGCCAGUGCGACCACGAACCCACAGGGAGGAAUGAACAACUCCCGACAGGAGGAAUGAACAAUUCCAGACGCGCGCCGCCUUAAGAGCUGUAACACUCACCACGAAAGUCUGCAGCUUCACUCCUGAAGCUAGCAAGACCACGAACCCACUAGAAGGAAAAAACUCUGAACGCGUCUGAACAUCAGAAGGAGAAAACUUCGGACACACCGUCUUUAAGAACUGGAACACUUAUACCAUGAGGGUCUGCGGCUUCAUUCUUGAGCCAUUCAACAUAGUGCAUCAGAAGUGAUCUUUCAACACAUCCAGUACAUGAAUAAAUGAAAAACGCAAGUUACAAAACAUUACAGAGGUAAAAUCAUAAAUAUAGUCCCUGAAUUUCAUGGCCACCUGACCUUCACAUGAAGCUCAUAUUAAAGCCAUCUAUAGAGCAUGUUUUCCUGAAAACUUGACAAGAACCAACACCAAGGUCUCCAUUUGGAACCAGAACCUAAACUACGGUGUAGGAGACAUGGGGGAAGGAUCAUCUAGGUUGUUGACUUGGGGAAGAUAAGCUACUCACAGGUCCCUAACUCAUCAUUGUUUCCUAGUAACAACAAUUGCUUGAAAAUCAGAGUCUCGCUUUGCUGCCCAGGCUGUAGUGCAGUGGUGUGAUCUCAGCUCACUGCAAGCUCUGCCUCCCAGGUUCACACCAUUCUCCUGCCUCAGCUUCCUGAGGAGCUGGGACUACAGGUGCACGCCACCACACCCAGCUAAUUUCUUGAAUUUUUAGUAGAGACGGGGUUUCACCGUGUUAUCCAGGAUGGUCUUGAUCUCCUGACCUCCUGAUCCUCCCACCUUGGCCUCCCAAAGUGCUGGGAUUACAGGCUUGAGCCACUGCGCCCGGCUCAUUCAUCUUCCUUAUUUCCCUCAACCUGCUGUCUCUCUUUUUCUGUCAUUCCCUUCUGCUUUUUCCCAGUCCAGGUUUGAAUACCCGCCUCCAAGUGAUAGGAAAGAACAGCCAAGUUUGAAUGCACACUGAUGUUUCAGGACCAUGGACAGUAGCAUCGGUUGCCCAGGAAAGUACAAAUGGUAUAUCAUUAUUUUAAAAGUUAUUUUAUUUUAAAAGUCAUUUAUAAAUUUGUCUAUUUUCUUUGAGCCUCUUUCUUUACACAUGACCUGCUCUCCCAAACCAACCCUCUCUGGUUUCAAAUACCCCAUUACUAAUUGAUCAAUUGUUCAAAGACAUUCGGCGAGGGCAUGCUGGCUCACGCCUGUAAUUCCAGGACAUUGGGAGGCCGAGGUGGGCAGAUCACGUGGGCAGGAGAUCGAGACCAUCCUCGCCAACAUGGUGAAACCCUGUCUCUACUGAAAAUACAGAAGUUAUCUGGGCGUGGUGGCGUG
This 1577-nucleotide long non-coding RNA is filed under the name Homo sapiens (human). Its description in RNAcentral is "HSALNT0097334". Lineage: Eukaryota; Metazoa; Chordata; Mammalia; Primates; Hominidae. The record is from RNAcentral.